Molecule: long non-coding RNA, 346 nt
Organism: Uranotaenia lowii
Lineage: Eukaryota; Metazoa; Arthropoda; Insecta; Diptera; Culicidae
Exons: 3
Source: RefSeq, a predicted model, not a curated record
ACAAAAUGGUUAUUGAAAAAAAGAAUUUUCGCCACGUAAUUUCAAAAUUCCCUCAUUUAAAAAGUUUUAGUGGAGCAAUGAUAUUGCAAGCCUUCAACCACAUGCACCCUGCAUGCAUUCCAAAAAUGGGAAUGCAGAGGUUCCUGGCGGAUUCAUUACUUCUGGACAAAACGGAAUACCCGAUGUUCAAGUGUGUGUACAUUAGGGCCUGUACCAUGCUGUUGGGGACAUUGAAAUCAAGAGGAUGCAAGAGGCCUGCUGAGGACUUGGAUCUGCCCUCUCGUUUCAUUGUAGCGGCCCCUCUCAUCAGAUGGGUCGAGGAAAACAAUUUAGCAGGAUACAUGAU